GCGUCCGAUUAGCUUGUUGGCGGGGUAACGGCCCACCAAGGCUACGAUCGGUAGGGGUUCUGAGAGGAAGGCCCCCCACAAUGGGACUGAGACACGGCCCAUACUCCUACGGGAGGCAGCAGUGAGGAAUAUUGGUCAAUGGGCGGAAGCCUGAACCAGCCAUGCCGCGUGCGGGAAGGAGGCCCUAUGGGCUGUGAACCGCUUUUGCCUGGGGGCAAUAAGGGCGUCGCGCACGUCCGAUGAGAGUACCAGGCGAAUAAGCAUCGGCUAACUCCGUGCCAGCAGCCGCGGUAAUACGGGGGAUGCGAGCGUUAUCCGGAUUCAUUGGGUUUAAAGGGUGCGUAGGCUGUGCGUCAAGUCGGGGGUGAAAUUCCGGUGCUCAACACCGGGGCUGCCCUUGAUACUGUCGCGCUGGAGUGCGGAUGCCGCCGGAGGAAUGAGUGGUGUAGCGGUGAAAUGCUUAGAUAUCACUCAGAACACCGAUUGCGAAGGCAUCUGGCGAAUCCGUAACUGACGCUGAGGCACGAAAGCGUGGGGAUAGAACAGGAUUAGAUACCCUGGUAUUCCACGCCGUAAACGAUGAUGGCUAACCGCCGGCGACACACUGUCGGUGGCCAAGCGAAAGCGAUAAGCCAUCCACCUGGGGAGUA
RNAcentral lists this ribosomal RNA (650 nucleotides) under uncultured bacterium. RNAcentral's name for it is "bacterial SSU rRNA". It matches the Rfam family "Bacterial small subunit ribosomal RNA", at positions 233 to 882 of the family's 1533-position model. The record is from RNAcentral.